CGCACAGAUGCUGAUGAGAGGAUGCAGUAGAGAAUAGCGGAAAUGGAAGUAACAAUCAAGGUGGAGUAGAUCAAGAAAUGGAUGAUGAAGACGAUGAAGAACUAGACCUUACUUGAAAUGACUUUUUUAUUGUUAUAGAUGAACGUUCUAGGAAUCUUUUUUUACCAACAUUUUUGAAACUUAUUUACUCUUUUGAAAUGUACUAAACUUAUGCACUCAUGGCUUUAUGGAUAAUUUUGUAUUAUUAAUAGUUUCAUUUUAUGAUGUAUUCAAAUUUUA
Nicotiana attenuata is the source of this 279-nucleotide long non-coding RNA. RefSeq lists it as uncharacterized. The record is from RefSeq and is a predicted model, not a curated record. The transcript has 2 exons. NCBI's taxonomy places the organism in Eukaryota, Viridiplantae, Streptophyta, Magnoliopsida, Solanales, Solanaceae.